CGUGUGUGCCCUAUAUUUUGAAAAUUUUCUAUGUUUUUCCAAAAUUUUUCUAAGUUUUCAGUUUAGUUCCGAAUCACUUCUAAUGCUUGUUUUUAGCCUCAAGGGCUUGUAUUAGGGACAAUACACUUGAUUGUGAAUGACUUUUAUUUGAAUAUGAAAAAUGUAUGAGAAAUGUAUGCUUGUUUAAGUACUAAGUCUGG
RNAcentral lists this long non-coding RNA (200 nucleotides) under Gossypium barbadense (sea-island cotton). Its description in RNAcentral is "long non-coding RNA (GBAR_LNC009525)". The record is from RNAcentral. Lineage: Eukaryota; Viridiplantae; Streptophyta; Magnoliopsida; Malvales; Malvaceae.